This 125-nucleotide ribosomal RNA is filed under the name Thiopseudomonas sp. 4R-3cl. RNAcentral describes it as "Micrococcus sp. 4R-3cl partial 16S ribosomal RNA". It matches the Rfam family "Bacterial small subunit ribosomal RNA", at positions 1 to 123 of the family's 1533-position model. The record is from RNAcentral. Lineage: Bacteria; Pseudomonadati; Pseudomonadota; Gammaproteobacteria; Pseudomonadales; Pseudomonadaceae.
UUUUACGGAGAGUUUGAUCCUGGCUCAGGAUGAACGCUGGCGGCGUGCUUAACACAUGCAAGUCGAACGAUGAAGCCCAGCUUGCUGGGUGGAUUAGUGGCGAACGGGUGAGUAACACGUGAGUA